AUUGAACGCUGGCGGCAGGCCUAACACAUGCAAGUCGUGCGGUAACAGGUGAAAGGCAACUUUCAUGCUGACGAGCGGCGGACGGGUGAGUAAGGUAUGGGAAUCUGGCUUACGGAGGGGGAUAACUGCUGGAAACGGCAGCUAAUACCGCAUAAAGUUGAGAAACCAAAGUGCGGGACCGAAAGGCCGCGCGCCGUAAGAUGAGCCCAUACGGGAUUAGCUGGUUGGCGGGGUAAAGGCCCACCAAAGCGACGAUCCCUAGCUGGUCUGAGAGGAUGAACAGCCACACCGGAACUGAGAGACGGUCCGGACUCCUGCGGGAGGCAGCAGUGGGGAAUAUUGCACAAUGGGGGAAACCCUGAUGCAGCCAUGCCGCGUGUAUGAAGAAGGCCUUCGGGUUGUAAAGUACUUUCGGUGGUGAGGAAAGCAUGAUGGUUAAGAGCUGUGAUGCGUGACGUAAGCCACAGAAGAAGCACCGGCAAACUCCGUGCCAGCAGCCGCGGUAAUACGGAGGGUGCGAGCGUUAAUCGGAAUAACUGGGCGUAAAGGGCACGCAGGCGGCGGUAUAAGUCAGAUGUGAAAUCCCCGUGUUCAUCGCGGGAACGGCAUUUGAAACUGUAGAGCUGGAG
Molecule: ribosomal RNA, 629 nt
Filed under: uncultured bacterium
Lineage: Bacteria
Description: bacterial SSU rRNA
Rfam family: Bacterial small subunit ribosomal RNA
Source: RNAcentral